RNAcentral lists this non-coding RNA (113 nucleotides) under Cellulomonas cellasea. Its description in RNAcentral is "TPP sequence". It matches the Rfam family "TPP riboswitch aptamer (THI element)". From Rfam's summary of the family: Vitamin B(1) in its active form thiamin pyrophosphate (TPP) is an essential coenzyme that is synthesised by coupling of pyrimidine and thiazole moieties in bacteria. The previously detected thiamin-regulatory element, thi box was extended, resulting in a new, highly conserved RNA secondary structure, the THI element, which is widely distributed in eubacteria and also occurs in some archaea. Analysis of operon structures identified a large number of new candidate thiamin-regulated genes, mostly transporters, in various prokaryotic organisms. RNAcentral also lists the same sequence under 1 other name. The record is from RNAcentral. Lineage: Bacteria; Bacillati; Actinomycetota; Actinomycetes; Micrococcales; Cellulomonadaceae.
GCGAAUGACACGGGGUGCUCGCGUACCGGCUGUGCCGGUGCGGGCGAGCUGAGAUCACACCCGUCGAACCUGAUCUAGUUCGUACUAGCGAAGGGAUGUCAUGAGAUGACUCA